GUGCCAGCAGCCGCGGUAAUACGUAGGUGGCAAGCGUUGUCCGGAUUUAUUGGGCGUAAAGCGAGCGCAGGCGGUUUCUUAAGUCUGAUGUGAAAGCCUUCGGCUCAACCGAAAAAAGUGCAUCGGAAACUGGGGAACUUGAGUGCAGAAGAGGACAGUGGAACUCCAUGUGUAGCGGUGAAAUGCGUAGAUAUAUGGAAGAACACCAGUGGCGAAGGCGGCUGUCUGGUCUGUAACUGACGCUGAGGCUCGAAAGCAUGGGUAGCAAACAGGAUUAGAUACCCUGGUAGUCCAUGCCGUAAACGAUGAGUGCUAGGUGUUGGAGGGUUUCCGCCCUUCAGUGCCGCAGCUAACGCAUUAAGCACUCCGCCUGGGGAGUACGACCGCAAGGUUGAAACUCAAAGGAAUUGACGGGGGCCCGCACAAGCGGUGGAGCAUGUGGUUUAAUUCGAAGCAACGCGAAGAACCUUACCAGGUCUUGACAUCCUUUGACCACUCUAGAGAUAGAGCUUUCCCUUCGGGGACAAAGUGACAGGUGGUGCAUGGUUGUCGUCAGCUCGUGUCGUGAGAUGUUGGGUUAAGUCCCGCAACGAGCGCAACCCUUAUUACUAGUUGCCAGCAUUAAGUUGGGCACUCUAGUGAGACUGCCGGUGACAAACCGGAGGAAGGUGGGGACGACGUCAAAUCAUCAUGCCCCUUAUGACCUGGGCUACACACGUGCUACAAUGGAUGGUACAACGAGUUGCGAGACCGCGAGGUUUAGCUAAUCUCUUAAAACCAUUCUCAGUUCGGAUUGUAGGCUGCAACUCGCCUACAUGAAGCCGGAAUCGCUAGUAAUCGCGGAUCAGCAUGCCGCGGUGAAUACGUUCCCGGGCCUUGUACACACCGCCCGU
This 893-nucleotide ribosomal RNA is filed under the name uncultured bacterium. RNAcentral's name for it is "bacterial SSU rRNA". It matches the Rfam family "Bacterial small subunit ribosomal RNA", at positions 505 to 1397 of the family's 1533-position model. The record is from RNAcentral.